Long non-coding RNA from Zea mays, 1074 nucleotides. RefSeq lists it as uncharacterized. NCBI's taxonomy places the organism in Eukaryota, Viridiplantae, Streptophyta, Magnoliopsida, Poales, Poaceae. The transcript is spliced from 3 exons. The record is from RefSeq and is a predicted model, not a curated record.
AUCUUAUCCUCUCUCUCGCCCCGCCCUCACACAGCAGGCGCUGUCCCCCACAGCCCCACUCCACGCGCCACUUCCGCCAUCUCCCUUAAUUUUGCUCUCUCGCCGCUGCCACGCUCCGCCGUCACGCAGCAGGCGCCGUACCCCCCCCCCCCCCCCCCCCCCCCCUGCUCCAUUCCACGAGCCACUUCGAAAGGACGGAGCACCAUGGCUCCAGUUGGUUGGACAGUGGGAGCAAGCAGACAACAACUAACCGCGAUUCAUCCUAUCGUCUGUAAGCGGAAGGUGUUUAAAGAUACCCUUCCUCAGAUCACGUACGGUGCGGGAAACUUACGGCACUAGGUCAAGAAUGGGUGCCGCUAGAGGAACAUGAAGGAUGAAGCGGUGAGUUUGGAGAGGUUUAGGUCGUCGUCUCCCAGUCAACUAUAAUGGUGGAGGAUCAUUGUCGUCAUAUGAUAUAUUUUAUUUAGUUAUUUUGUACAUAACUUUUAUUAUAUAAUAAAGAUGCGACAUCGAUUUUUGUAUCAUGAGUCAUUAUAUGUGUGAGACUUGAUCCUAGCAUACAUUUAAGAUGCGCUCGGUUGUUACCUUAAAUCCGGGUGUGACAUGAGAUGAGAGGCCAACUUGCCGAGGUCCAAGCAUUAAUGAAAUAUGCAAAGGAAAAGAUCAAACAAAGCUUUGUUGUCCAAAGCAAGAAGAGUUUGCUCGAGCAUCAUGACUAUACUUGAACGACAUUGGGAAAACAAAUGGAUCAUCCAUUGUAUGGGGUUGUAAUGUAUUUGAACCCAGGAAAGUUACAUCUUCUCAUAUGAAAUGAUGAUGAUGUUAUUGUUGGACAGCUAAGAGGUUGCUUUCUAGAUGUGCUUGCAAGAAUGGUACAUGAUGAGGAAACAAGAGACAAGAUCAAUUCUCAAGCAUUGGAUUAUGAGUAUCUAAGAGGAGUAGUUUUUUCAAAUAAGAUGGCCAAAAAUAACCUUCGAACUAUGACCCCUCGAAAGUGUUGUUGACUGUUGUUGUAAUUCCAGCAAGUUUAUUGAUGUAGUGCUGCAAUAAUUACAUCAAGUUGGUUGUUGUAGU